AGCAAGCAGCGGCGUUUCACCGACGUACCGCGCGUGAAAGAUGGCGGAGGUUCUUUUAAGGGGAUGGGGAAGGAGUGGAGAGACAGUGAAUUUUUCA
RNAcentral lists this long non-coding RNA (97 nucleotides) under Polistes fuscatus (common paper wasp). RNAcentral's name for it is "uncharacterized LOC122526494". The record is from RNAcentral. Lineage: Eukaryota; Metazoa; Arthropoda; Insecta; Hymenoptera; Vespidae.